Molecule: non-coding RNA, 183 nt
Filed under: Atopococcus tabaci
Lineage: Bacteria; Bacillati; Bacillota; Bacilli; Lactobacillales; Carnobacteriaceae
Description: 6S RNA
Rfam family: 6S / SsrS RNA
About the family: E. coli 6S RNA was the first non coding RNA to be sequenced, but its function was unknown until recently. It consists of 184 nucleotides that fold into an extended hairpin structure with a large single-stranded internal bulge.
Source: RNAcentral
AAUUAACUGUGAUACACGUGCUUCUAUUAUUGCGCUGACCGAACAUCUAUUUAUAGGGGUUCAAAAGAACAAGUGGAUGACAUGCCUUUUCAUUUGGUAGUCAGAAACUUGUUUGGUGAACACCCACCUGAACAUUUUAUGGUUCAGCCAACAUAGAUCUUAACACGGUAUCUACGGUAUUCU